Molecule: long non-coding RNA, 1647 nt
Filed under: Homo sapiens (human)
Lineage: Eukaryota; Metazoa; Chordata; Mammalia; Primates; Hominidae
Description: non-protein coding lnc-RCBTB2-2:2
Source: RNAcentral
GGUUUCUGGAGGGUGUGGCCCCCAGAGGGCAUGGAAGCUCUGCACCCCUGCUCCCAUACCUCACCCUACGCAUCUCCUCAUCUGUAUCCUUUGCAAUAUCCUUUGUAAUAAACCGGUUCAAAAAGGCCUUCUUUCAAACCUUCCCCAAAGCCUAUUUUCUGGAACACUAAAAACUCAGGCAAAUUUGAGGUCUAUCAAAUGUAAAAAGUACAGACUCUACUGUGAAUCUCAGAAAUUCUCUAAAUCAUAACACAUUCAAUAGCUGACAGAAGACUUUUGUUUCUCUUUUUCCCAGCAUUUGGGCUAAAGUGAUGAUACGCAAUGCAAGAACGAACUAGCACAACAUCAGUAAGAAAAAAAGGGUGAAAGCUACCUGUUACUACGAGAACAUUUGACUAGAAGUCAAGAAACUAGGAUUCGAGUUCCUGCUCCAGCAAUAAUCAGCUAUGGUUUUAGUUUCCUAAGUUGUACUUGAGUGACUGGAAGGAGAGCUAAACUAUAUACCAAAGAAGAUGAAUGGCUAGUUGUAACAGGGAAAAUUUUAUCAUAAUGAGCAUCAAAAGAAUCCCAAAUGAGAAAACUGCUUUUUGCAUAAGUGUAAAUUAAGAGAUGGAAGUCACAUUUCACCAUGGCAAACAUUUGCUGCAUGCAAAAUGACUGAAACAAGGUCUUGAUCUGUCACCAGGCUGAAGUGCAGUGGUACAAUCAAAGCUCACUGCAGUCUCAACCUCCUAGGCUCAAACAAUCCUCCCACUUCAGCCUCCCAACCAGCUGGGACCACAGGUUGACAUCACCACACCCAGGUCUGCUGGAAUUUGCUGGAGGUCCACUCCAGACCCUGUUUGUCUGGAUAUCACCAGCAGAGGUUGCAGAACAACAAAGAUUGCUGCCUGUUCCUUCCUCUGGAAGCUUUGUCCCAGAGGGGCACCCACCAGACGGCAGCUGGAGCUCUCCUGUUCCCUCUGCUAUGGCUCUUCCUCAGUAGAAACAACUGGCAACAAAAUUCAAGUUUAUGAUUCAUUCAUCAGCAAACAUGUGAGAAUCAUCUACAAAGAACCAAGAAUUGUGGAAGAUAAAUGAAUCAAAAGUUUUGUAAGAUUCUUCAUAAAGCAAUACAUAACAGAUAACAAACAUGGUUUUCUCAUCUAGAACUAUGGAAAAAAAGUGUACCAGAACAAAAUUUAUUUUCCUUUGCUAGUGUUGUACUUUGUGGUCUGUUACAGAAGUCUCGGUUUACUUCAAUUUCUGUUCUGCUUCUCUCUUUGGCACCAUCAGGAAACCCUAGCCCCGUGUCUAAAUUCAGAAGCCACACUAAUUAGGAUCGAUUUCUCCUAUUUCUCUUCUUUGUUUCUUGCAUAUCCAGAAUUCUAGAGCCCUUCCUCACAAUUCCAGUUAAGAUUUGACUGUGAAAACUCCAAAGCUUAACAUUCUAACCACUCUAGGGAGGGAGGAUGGGAGGAAGAGAGCUGAGUGUGCACCAAGGAGCGGUAAGAUGCCAGACCUGUGAGUGAAGAAGCAUCUUGGAAGUGGACCCUAUAGCUCCAGGCACCUGCUGACACAUAGUCGGAGACAAACCACCCAGUCAAGUUCAACCCAAAUUCCUGACCCAAAAAAUCAUAAGCAAAAUAAAAUAUUUGUUUAAAGCCA